CCUACGGGUUGCAGCAGUGGGGAAUAUUGCACAAUGGGCGCAAGCCUGUUGCAGCCAUGCCGCGUGUGUGAAGAAGGCCUUCGGGUUGUAAAGCACUUUCAGCGAGGAGGAAGGUGGUGAGCUUAAUACGCUCAUCAAUUGACGUUACUCGCAGAAGAAGCACCGGCUAACUCCGUGCCAGCAGCCGCGGUAAUACGGAGGGUGCAAGCGUUAAUCGGAAUUACUGGGCGUAAAGCGCACGCAGGCGGUUUGUUAAGUCAGAUGUGAAAUCCCCGGGCUCAACCUGGGAACUGCAUUUGAAACUGGCAAGCUAGAGUUUCGUAGAGGGGGGUAGAAUUCCAGGUGUAGCGGUGAAAUGCGUAGAGAUCUGGAGGUAUACCGGUGGCGAAGGCGGCCCCCUGGACGAAGACUGACGCUCAGGUGCAAAAGCGUGGGGAGCAAACAGGAUUAGAUACCCGGGUAGUC
Molecule: ribosomal RNA, 465 nt
Filed under: uncultured bacterium
Lineage: Bacteria
Description: bacterial SSU rRNA
Rfam family: Bacterial small subunit ribosomal RNA
Source: RNAcentral